This 389-nucleotide ribosomal RNA is filed under the name Prymnesium sp. RNAcentral's name for it is "partial small subunit ribosomal RNA". It matches the Rfam family "Eukaryotic small subunit ribosomal RNA", at positions 582 to 975 of the family's 1831-position model. The record is from RNAcentral. Lineage: Eukaryota; Haptophyta; Prymnesiales; Prymnesiaceae.
AUUCCAGCUCCAAUAGCGUAUAUUAAAGUUGUUGCAGUUAAAACGCUCGUAGUCGGAUUUCGGGGCGGCUUCGCCGGUCUGCCGAUGGGUAUGCACUGGCGAGGGCGUCCUUCCUUCCGGAGACUGGCCCUACUCUUAACUGAGCGGGGUCGGGAGUCGGAUCGUUUACUUUGAAAAAAUCAGAGUGUUUCAAGCAGGCAUAUCGUUCUUGCAUGGAUUAGCAUGGGAUAAUGAAAUAGGACUUUGGUGCUAUUUUGUUGGUUUCGAACACCGAAGUAAUGAUUAAUAGGGACAGUUGGGGGCAUUAGUAUUUAAUUGUCAGAGGUGAAAUUCUUGGAUUUACGGAAGACGAACGACUGCGAAAGCAUUUACCAAGGAUGUUUUCAUCG